UUUGGCCUUUUCGAAGAACUUUGACUUCUAAACUUUAUAAAAUCUAUACCAAAUUUUAUUUUACACAAUUUAAAAGAAAAAAUUGAACGUAUAUCAAUUUAUUCAUCAAAAUCAGAUUUUAACUCAUUUGAACCUAUAGAAGGCUGCACUCUUGUUGCAUCUGCAUACUCAUUAUAAAAUUUAUAAGACAAGCAUAAAUAUCAUCAAUUUUCUUCUUGCUUCCUUCCACAUCAAAUGCUACUUAAUAACAAAAC
Molecule: long non-coding RNA, 254 nt
Filed under: Elaeis guineensis (African oil palm)
Lineage: Eukaryota; Viridiplantae; Streptophyta; Magnoliopsida; Arecales; Arecaceae
Description: long non-coding RNA (EGUI_LNC017418)
Source: RNAcentral